RNAcentral lists this non-coding RNA (53 nucleotides) under unclassified sequences. RNAcentral describes it as "chromate-resist RNA". It matches the Rfam family "chrB-b RNA". The record is from RNAcentral.
UCGGGUCCGUCGCAGGCACCCGGCCGUUACAAGGCAUUUCGCCCAAGCUCUGC